CGGCAUGCUUACACAUGCAAGUCGAACGGUAACAGCAGAGCUUGCUCUGGCUGACGAGUGGCGGACGGGUGAGUAAAGCGUGGGAAUCUGCCUUGUAGUGGGGGACAACCUGGGGAAACCCAGGCUAAUACCGCAUAAACUCUACGGAGCAAAGCGGGGGAUCUUCGGACCUCGCGCUACAAGAUGAGCCCACGUUAGAUUAGCUAGUUGGUAAGGUAAAGGCUUACCAAGGCGACGAUCUAUAGCUGGUCUGAGAGGACGAUCAGCCACACUGGGACUGAGACACGGCCCAGACUCCUACGGGAGGCAGCAGUGGGGAAUAUUGGACAAUGGGCGCAAGCCUGAUCCAGCCAUGCCGCGUGUGUGAAGAAGGCCUUAGGGUUGUAAAGCACUUUCAGGAGUGAGGAAGGGUAUGCAGUUAAUA
This 424-nucleotide ribosomal RNA is filed under the name uncultured bacterium. Its description in RNAcentral is "bacterial SSU rRNA". It matches the Rfam family "Bacterial small subunit ribosomal RNA", at positions 40 to 465 of the family's 1533-position model. The record is from RNAcentral.